AUUGAACGCUGGCGGCAGGCCUAACACAUGCAAGUCGAGCUGUUGAGGUAGCUUGCUACCGAUGCAGCGGCGGACGGGUGAGUAAUACAUGGGAAUCUGCCUGGUAGUGGGGGACAACGUUUCGAAAGGAACGCUAAUACCGCAUACGCCCUACGGGGGAAAGGGGGGGAUCGCAAGACCUCUCGCUAUCAGAUGAGCCC
RNAcentral lists this ribosomal RNA (200 nucleotides) under uncultured bacterium. Its description in RNAcentral is "partial 16S ribosomal RNA". It matches the Rfam family "Bacterial small subunit ribosomal RNA", at positions 30 to 232 of the family's 1533-position model. The record is from RNAcentral.